Molecule: ribosomal RNA, 244 nt
Filed under: Canis lupus familiaris (dog)
Lineage: Eukaryota; Metazoa; Chordata; Mammalia; Carnivora; Canidae
Description: partial small subunit ribosomal RNA
Source: RNAcentral
ACCGCGGUCAUACGAUUAACCCAAACUAAUAGGCCUACGGCGUAAAGCGUGUUCAAGAUACUUUUACACUAAAGUUAAAACUUAACUAAGCCGUAAAAAGCUACAGUUAUCAUAAAAUAAACCACGAAAGUGACUUUAUAAUAAUCUGACUACACGAUAGCUAAGACCCAAACUGGGAUUAGAUACCCCACUAUGCUUAGCCCUAAACAUAGAUAAUUUUACAACAAAAUAAUUCGCCAGAGGA